UUUGGGUUCUUGUGGUGCAACAUUCUCCUUAUCUCCAGGCUCAGAGACCUGGGCUCAAGCCCCACCUAAUCUGGAGGCAUGUAAUAACAUCUCUGAACAGGUCGAUUAGUAAACAGAGUUUUGCCCUCUUUCUCCUCAACAUUCCUACACUACAAGUAAAGCCAGUGGAACUUGGUGCAACUCCUUUCAGUUACAGAGGAUGGACUAACUCGCAUUAAAGAAUUCUUUGGGAUUUUCACACAAAUUGGUUGGAGUGGAGGGUGGAUGUGAGGAUGGAGCAGCCAUGGAAGCAUUCACACUGACAUUUCCCAUUUGGCCAGGCAGUUUGGGAAUCAAUGGAAAUGACUCCAAGUUGAUAGCGUCUGAAAGUUGGUGAGUAGAAAGAACUUUCCAGUACUGGAUUGUCAUCUCUAUAUCAUACAUGCCGGUUGCCUGGAUGAAUGCAGCUCCAACAACACUCAAAAAGCUUGACACCGUCCAAGGCAAAGCAACGCACUUGCCACUGUCAACACUCAAUCUCUUCACCACCAAAUGUACAAUGGCAGCAAUGUGUACUGCAGUAACUCACCAAAGUUCCUCUGACAACACCUACCAAACUCAUGACCUGUAGUGCAUAUAAGGACAAGGGCAGCAGAUACAUAGGAACACGACCACUUGCAAGUUUACCUCCAUGCAAGUUCACCAUCCUGUAUUGGAAAUAUAUCACCGUUCCUUCAGUGUCAUUGGGUCCAAAUCCUGGAACUCCCUUUCUGACAUCCCAAGGUCAGGAGCAGUUCAAGAGGCAGCUUAAAAUCUCCCUCUCCAGGGUAAUUAAAGACAGGCAAUAAGUACUAAACAUGCCAUUGACAUCUAUGUCCCAUUAAUAAGUAUUAAUAAAAGCAUAAUUCCUAUGGUUCUA
Molecule: long non-coding RNA, 898 nt
Organism: Rhincodon typus (whale shark)
Lineage: Eukaryota; Metazoa; Chordata; Chondrichthyes; Orectolobiformes; Rhincodontidae
Exons: 2
Source: RefSeq, a predicted model, not a curated record